AUGUAUGCAGUCUCCAUAGUGGUCCUGGGCUGGUGCGUAGGUUGGAAAUUUUUUGUUUUCUGCUGCGUUACCCUACAGGCAUUUGGUGUGCUCCAAUCUCGAUUUGCUGUUGUCCGGUACCCCGCUCUGACCUGGUCGAAAUCUCAAAUAUGGGAGGUUAUGACUUGCUGUAUCAUCUUGCAUAACAUGAUCAUUGAGAGCGAGCAGAAAGAGCCAGUGUUUGACACUGAACCAUAUUACAGGCAGGGUCCUUUUGAAACUGUUGAUCAUCAGGUACCGACAUCAUGGGCUGCCUUCCUCAAUAUGCGCCAGGAGAUCCGAGACCCACAGGUGCAUCAAGAAUUGCAUCACGAUUUGGUGGAGCACCUAUGA
Molecule: ribosomal RNA, 372 nt
Filed under: Triticum aestivum (bread wheat)
Lineage: Eukaryota; Viridiplantae; Streptophyta; Magnoliopsida; Poales; Poaceae
Description: partial small subunit ribosomal RNA
Source: RNAcentral